Long non-coding RNA from Brassica napus (rape), 1977 nucleotides. RefSeq lists it as uncharacterized. The record is from RefSeq and is a predicted model, not a curated record. The transcript is spliced from 2 exons. Lineage: Eukaryota; Viridiplantae; Streptophyta; Magnoliopsida; Brassicales; Brassicaceae.
GUAAAUAUAUGUUGUUAAAAGUUUGUAAGGCAUCUAAAAGUGUUGGACCUUGUUAUGGCAUGAUUGUGCUGUUGAAAAUCACGAAGCCAGACUUGACACACUGUUCCGAGGCAGCAUGCGCUGUACGUUGUUGAUUUUAUUUGGAAGAGACUUUCGUGUCAGGAUAUUACAGCUCUGAAAGAUAGCUGCUGCAUAGCCAAAGAUGAAAUCAACAAUUCCGAUAAUAUAACAUUCACGGUAGAGUUGGUUGCCGGCGUGUGUUGCAACACGUGUCCUGGAAUCCUUGGUACGUGCAGCGGUACAUGACGGAGUGACUACACUUGGAGUGAAAGGCCACCGCUUGUUUUUUUUCAGUCCGGCUGUGUUGAAGAAUUUCAUAUACAUAUCCACAAAACUGUUUCCACGAACAUGUGCAUUGUUGUUGGUAUUAUGUAAAACAUUGAUCUACUAAAUUCCUUAUUUUACCUAUGCUAUGAGAAGUAUGUGAUUUUACUAUAGCAAAAUCCCAAAAAAUAAAUCUAUUUAUAAGUAUGCUCUUUUCAUUUUAAACACAAACACACAACCCCCAUUAAAUUUAUAUUGGCAUCCACAUCUUUGAAUCAGUCAACAUUGCGAAUCAAGUUGUCUUUUUUAAGAACAAUUUUUUUUGCUAUGGAUGCAAAUAGUGAUGAUGCAAGGAAACAUAUUGUAAUUGGAAUUACUUCAGUGAUGGAUUCAAAAUCAUUUUUUUUAACGCUGGAUUGUACUAUUAAGCCUUCUAUAUAAAGAGUUCUAAACAAUGAGAAUUAGUAAACAAAUAUGGAAAAAGAAUACACCAGCAGGGAUUCAAUAUCCUUAAGUUAAUAACCCAAAAUAAAAACUUAAGAAAUGCACUUUGCCAUCAAGAAAUGUUAUUAUAAUAAAUAGUUAGUCUAUCAUUCACAUAUAUUUGUAAUUUUAUUUUAGAACGUUUCAAUAUUUAUAUGUCAAAAUUAUUUCAAAAUGUUCAGUUUUUGAAAAAUAUCAAGCAUGUUAAUUUCGUGAAUUAAAACAAAAUCACAUGACCGAAAGAAACAUUAUUCAACAUGUUCUCGAUAAAAAACAGUGGAAAAUUUAGAUAGCGGAGUGGUUCGGAAAAUUCAGAUAGCUUAAAUCAUUUUUAAACUUUUUCAAAAAAAAAUAUUUUUUAACUCUCAAUCAUUUGUAUAGGAAUCAAAUGCUGAUCAAUCCGAAGGAGGAAGGUCGACAAUAGUAAAGAAGAUAGUGAACGAAAUGAGACAAUAUCCCCUAUAUAUUAAUUGAGGAUCAUUUAAAAAGAUGUAACCUUAAUUUUGUACUAAUUACAUUUUAGACUUGCUGAGGUGGCGUUUAAGUAGAACCUAAUUUUGCUGAUGUGUCAUGAUUAGAAUCGAUUGAAAAAUUAGUUAGUCCAAUUUCAAUUUGCUAGGGAACGUCAUAUUAACUAGGAAGACUUUGUUAUACGAUUAACACCUUAUAAACGAAGUUUUAAAAGAAUAUUAACAAAGAGACGCAUUAGGUUUCUAAGAGGGAGUUGCGGCGGCAAAGAAUGAGUGGAGUGAAUUAAGGAGGCGAUGUGGUCAGCAGAGAGAAAGACAGUUGAGGAAAGAGAGGGAGACGAGAGAUGUGGAGAGAGUUCUGAAUGUUGUGAAGGAGAUGGAGGUUACGAGGCGGAACUGGGAGCUGGCGUCACAGGUUAUGACGGUGGUAGGGGUUUGGAGGAGGGACGGUGGUCGCAGGGGACGGUGGGGAUGUUGAGAGAUUCGAGGGCUUUGACAUGUUGUGGCCUGUGGGUCUAAUGGAGGUGCGAGGAGUGGGAGAGGUGCGUGUAAAGGGAGAGAUGGUUGGAGAAGGAGUUGGGGACAGGGAAGGAGCGUUUAUAUAAUUGAUGCUCGACGUUGCAAGUUUGAUCUUUGUUUGUGGGAUUGCUAAUUACUUGAAUGCACCAUAUUUGUGUAAAAAAGACGGGAUUGUGCUGAA